CAGCCGUAAACUAUGCUCGCUAGGUGUCAGGCAUGGCGCGACCGUGUCUGGUGCCGCAGGGAAGCCGUGAAGCGAGCCACCUGGGAAGUACGGCCGCAAGGCUGAAACUUAAAGGAAUUGGCGGGGGAGCACAACAACGGGUGGAGCCUGCGGUUUAAUUGGACUCAACGCCGGGAAGCUCACCGGAUAAGACAGCGAAAUGAUUGCCGGGCUGAAGACUCUGCAUGACUAGCUGAGAGGAGGUGCAUGGCGUAGACGUCU
This 261-nucleotide ribosomal RNA is filed under the name uncultured archaeon. Its description in RNAcentral is "partial 16S ribosomal RNA". It matches the Rfam family "Archaeal small subunit ribosomal RNA", at positions 748 to 1009 of the family's 1478-position model. The record is from RNAcentral.